Molecule: long non-coding RNA, 356 nt
Organism: Scylla paramamosain (green mud crab)
Lineage: Eukaryota; Metazoa; Arthropoda; Malacostraca; Decapoda; Portunidae
Exons: 3
Source: RefSeq, a predicted model, not a curated record
GUUGGUGUUCUCCAAACCCAACGAUGUAUCCUGAGGGACUCCACUCCGGCACACUUUCAUCUCGCCUCUCAUUCCUGGAACUUUAAUCAGUGAAGAACCUCGGGUGGAGACAAACUUGUCCUCUAACCUUAAUUAAGAAGCACUCCCACUGACCUGGCCCUCGUUGUGUGUGUGUGCCCUGUCUGAGGCUUCACAAAGUGCUUCGAAACUCGUCCAGAACCAGAGGCAGUGAACACAGACUCGAUGAACCCUUGUCGGCCAUGCAGAGGCAAACGACCGAGCUCAUUGUGACCCUCGUGUUUGUGCCUCUCUGUGUGCUGGCCUGGCAUUCUGUGUGGACGUGGCGGUGUUGUCUA